RNAcentral lists this transfer RNA (72 nucleotides) under Candidatus Aenigmatarchaeota archaeon. Its description in RNAcentral is "tRNA-Ala". It matches the Rfam family "tRNA". From Rfam's summary of the family: Transfer RNA (tRNA) molecules are approximately 80 nucleotides in length. Lineage: Archaea; Nanobdellati; Candidatus Aenigmatarchaeota. The record is from RNAcentral.
GGGCCUGUGGUCUAAUGGUAAGAUACCUCCCUCGCAUGGAGGAGACUCUGGGUUCAAAUCCCAGCAGGUCCA